UCAGUUUCUUCAUCUGUAAAAUGGGAACAAUCAUAGGUGCCAACCUGAGGUUGCUUUAAAAAUCCAUUAAAGUCGAAAAAGCACCCAGCGUUCCAUAAAUAUUAACUCCCAGUCCUCUGACCCAGAGGGUUCCAGACACAGGAGGCAUCAUUGUGCAAGAGAGGGUCCUUAUUACACUUUAACAUUCGUACACAUGAACGUUAUGGCUUUUAGAGGGUAAGUCAUUCCUGGGGGAGCAGUGGGUGGAUUGACUCAGGGAAAAGUUGUUUCUGUUUCUAAAGAGAAGAGCUGAGAUCCCGGAAACAAGAGGAGUUUCAACAACCCAGGUCCUGUGAUUUCACAACCACCUAUAGCGGCUCAUUUUCACCGAGAGAUGAAGCUUGGCUUCAGGCAGGUUCAUUUCCUCUGGCUGGACCUCCAUGCCUUCAUCAGACAGACAGACAGACACACAUGGCUGGGUCCGAGCAGCUGGCUUGGCCGGGGAGCUGGGAGAGUGUCACCCGGCUUCUGGGCACAUUUGAGAGCAGUUUUGUGGCAGGAGCUGAUGAGCUCCAUGAUAAAUGGCUCCCUAAAUGAAUCCUUACUUCAGAAGCUGGCCGAGUGCCGGCUCAGCUUGGAGACCCCAGCAAUGAAGUCGACAGUCCCGGCUCGGGGACAGGAAGAGCGCUCCCAUGUGAUCAGCACUGUAAUAGAGGGACACAGACAAGGUUCCAACCUGACCUGCUCGGUAGGGGGCGCUGGGAAGGUGAUCUAAGGAUGCGAAGGCUUGCAGGACAAAUCCACCGCGUAGAAGGGUCCCACGGCUCCCGAGGAAAAGGAGCAGCCUCUGGGUAGAGGACAGGCUCAAAACAGGGUAAAGAGGGGCAGGGGACAUGGAGGCACCCAGUCCCAUCUGCGGGAACAGGCAGCAUCAUGGCCCAGGAGGAGCUUGGAAGGGCCCAGGUACUGAAUUUUCUAAGUGAAUAAACACAGGCUACACACAAUGGUAACAGUGACGAUGAUGGUGGACACAGUGGGUGCUGUGACUAUACGAUUACGGGCACUGCUGGUUAUGUAGGUAUCGGUGGUGAUGGUGGGAGUUUUGGUGAUGAUGGUGAUGGGGUUAUGGUGAUGGUGGCGGUAAUGAUGAUGAUGAUGGAGGUUGUGGCUAAUAUGACUAUAAAGCUGGGAAGAACAUUCUCGUGUGCGUCUAUAGGUGGGAGUGUGCAUUCGUUUCUAUUGGGCACAGACCCAGGAGUGGAAUUGCCAGGGCACAGGACAGGCACACGUCUAGUGUUAGUAGAUGGUGCCAAACAGCUUUCCAAAAAAAAAAAAAAAAAAAAGGUUGUAUUUACAUGUAAUGUAUGAGUUCCAGAUGCUCCACAUCCCCAUAGAUACUCAAGCAGUGUCCAUUCGGUUUGCUAAUGUAGCUCAGGUGCCUAGAAGCCUGGCAUACCGAGGAGACAAUAAAAAUUGGCUGAAUGAAUGCUCAGUUUAAGGGAGGCGGAUGUUCGCAGUCACCACGAGAGGAUAGAACCAGACCUCUGCUCCUGCUUGUGCACAUCCAGUGAGGGACACAGUCUGAUCCCGGGGGUGCGGGGGAGCCUGGUGCAAAAGUCCCUACCGAACAGCUCCUCAUACCCCAAUGUGCAUACGUCCUCUGUCUUGGCACGUUUCUCAAAAUCCCUUCAGCAGGGCAAUCUGUUCAAACCAACCCCCACUACGAUGUGAGGGAUCCAUAGCCUUUAACUCUCUUCAGGGCAUUUAAAGGAGCAGCGUGUUCACUUACUGGGUUUACAACUGAAAAACACACCCUGAAGCAGACAGCACAGGACUUAGGGUUCCUGGUUCUAGGUUGACUUGGUUUGGCCAUUUACAGCUGCUUUCUCCUUAGACAGCCUCCCCUGCCUACCUCUAUUUUUGUUUGCUUUUUUUUUUUUUUUUUUUUUUUAAAUUUGAAAGACAGGAACGGUAAUUCUUGUCCUAUCCACCUCAAGGAUUCAAAACACAUAACAGAUUAAGGAACUUCAGAGUUGAAAAGAAUCUUAGAGAUCACUUAGGGACUUUUAUUUAUUUUUAAAAAAAUUUUUAGGGCCGAAUCCAUGGCAUAUGGCAGUUCCCAGGCUAGGGG
Molecule: long non-coding RNA, 2110 nt
Organism: Sus scrofa (pig)
Lineage: Eukaryota; Metazoa; Chordata; Mammalia; Artiodactyla; Suidae
Source: RefSeq, a predicted model, not a curated record